GUGCCUUAAACUAAUGAGUAAGGAAAAUUACGAACCUUGCUGACCCAUGGUUCAGCUUCCAAACCUGCAGUUGGCCAUCGCGCGCCGGCUGCGUGAGCAAUAAUUUUUCCUAGAGGUACAGGUCGUCCCCUUGCAGCUGUCCUGCCUACUUUUGCAGGAUACUCGGGUGUGAUAGCGAUCUGCCUC
Molecule: small nuclear RNA, 186 nt
Organism: Topomyia yanbarensis
Lineage: Eukaryota; Metazoa; Arthropoda; Insecta; Diptera; Culicidae
Product: U12 minor spliceosomal RNA
Exons: 1
Source: RefSeq, a predicted model, not a curated record